UUGGAAUUAUUUACAUUUUGAGUGGACUCUCUAGCUAAUCAAAAAGACGAAUUUGGAGUCCUAGAGUUAAAAUCACAAUGUCUAAAUGGCACUCAGGGAUAAAUUACAUCUCACUGUUUCCCAAAAUGACCAGGUAAAAUUCAGAAGGACAUGGAACUUUGGAAAUUUUACCAGGGCUCUGGAAAUUCUGACACUUGAUGUCCACCAUUGGCCAGCUAGUAUCUAAAAUAGGCAAUUUAACUGGAAAACAGAUCCUUAAGAACCACUAGUUCCAUUUACUAAAACAGCACUGGGUUUGAAGUCAAAUCUUGCUCUCACUCUGACAGUAACUUGCUGUAUGUCCUUAGACGAGUCUAGUCUCCUCUCUGGGCUCAUAGAUAAAAUAAAGAGGACAUUCUAGAUUGCCUACUUCAGGUUUCUUUCCAGCUGUGACAUUGUAUGAUUCAUCUAUGAUUCUUCAACUCUGGCGUAGGCUGUUAUACCUAAGAUUAGGAUUUCCUUAAGAAUGAAAAGAUUGACAAAUUUUGGUCCAAAGCCUCUGAUAUGGCCAUGAAAAGAUGCCCUGACUCUCAGCUGACUCACGCUGGACUCCAUCAGUGCUGAAAACUCCCCAAGACUGAGCUGGACUGGAAAGCUCCCCAAAGACCACCUCUGAGGAGCAGGCAUCUUUAGUCAUGUCCAGUACUGGGAAUUAUGGCUCAAACAUCUGGCCAUCAACAAUUACAGAAAAUGAACAGGGGAAGACUGAAAGCUGAUCCGCCUCCAACCCUGCCUCCUGGCUUCUACGGCCAAGCAAGCUUCCUGUAGAGAGGCAGCAGGGUGGGGCUGUGUACUCAUACAGGAGCUGGGUUUUUUUAUUUUUUGUGCCAAACUCCAAUGUGAGCACAUUAGCUGCUCUUACUCAGCCUAGGAUUGGGACUAGAAGAACAAAAGAUUAUUUGGUUUAUGUCAGCUAGAAUUUUCUCACUAAGCCAAGGGUUUCGUCCUUGGGCAGAAGAGGCAGAGAGGAUUGCACAAUAAAACUAGAAGUAAAAGAAAGAGGCCCUGGUGGGUAAGAGACUGGAGUCUGCUUAAACCUCAGUAGACCUUUCCCUACCCAAAAUUGACACUGGGCAGGUGAAUUGACCACACAGUAGUACCAUAAUGAAUGGGAGAGACCUUAAAAGCAGGACCACGGGUAGCUUCACAGGCUGUACACUGAACACCCGAGGGGCGCCCUUCAGAGGCAUUGUAACAUUGCUUUCUGGAAUUGUGUGCAGUGCACAACCUGUACAUCUGCAUGAGACAGAUCCAUCAGAUAGCCAAAGGAGGAUGAGCAAAAGGCAGUUGAGGGGUCUCACUUCUUCUCUCUCAGUUGUAGACUGUAGAGCCCCAGGAGAGCUGGAACACGGGCUGGUCACCUUCUCCACAAGGAACAACCUCACCACAUACAAGUCUGAGAUCAAAUACUCCUGUCAGGAGCCCUAUUACAAGAUGCUCAACAAUAUCACAGGUAAGCCCUCCAUGCUAAGCCAUCCCACUCCCGUUUCACACUCUCGGGGCCUCAGGGUUGGACUGGGGGCCGAGACAGCUCUGAAAGGAAGAACUGCUCAUAAGUGUGUAGAGCCUGAUAAUGCAAAACGUGUCACUCACACAUCUCCUGAGGUUCUCACUUUCCAUGAGCUUGUGUUACUGUGCCCAUGUGGAGAUGCAGAAACAGUCUCAAAACCAAAAAGCAGCCUUUUUUGUUUUUAACUUUAAAUCUAGCACUGAUUUACUAAUGAGUUGUUGGUGGGAGUGUGAAGGAGUCACACAUUGACACAACUAAGGGAAGAAACGAGACCCUAAAGGAAGCCUAGAAUCCCCCAAGUUAAACUCCUUCAUGUGGUCUGAGGCUGAGUUGGGGUUUCCAAAAAAUGGCCAGUAUUACUGCUUCACCCAGUCUCUGCCUUGGCUGCUGGGUGAGGGCAACAUCUCACCAGGCCAGACCCAUUCUGCAGGUAAGGGACCUUCCUUCAAAGACCUGUUCCCCUGGUACGGACAGGGGUCCAGGCAGGGUUGGGGAGUGAGGAGCAGAUCCUCUGUCUCCCCAGGUAGCCCAGCAUAUCCCCUGACCACAGCUCAAGCACAGCCAUAGCAGUCCCUGUCCAGGCCUCACCCAUGCCACCUGGCAGAGACCCCUGGCUGCCCCAGGGGCUGGGCAGCAGCACACUGGCCAGAGGGUGAAGGACCAGCAAUAACCUGCCCAUUGGCCACACUGGGGGUUUGGGAGGAACUGGAAAGAGAAGUGCUUAGAGACAUAACCCGCCUCUCCCUGCCUUGUGGCAGCCAAACACCCCCUCACAUGCACUCAUAGUCCCUAGCAGAAAAGGAACUCUCAGGGAGAAAGGAGGGCCCAUCGGCUCUGCCUCUCUGGCAUGCAAGCACUGAGAACAUUCUCCUGACUCAUCUAAGCCUCCAACUCCUCUUUGUUUUUGUUUUUGAGACAGGGUCUCACUCUGUCACCCAGGCUGGAGUGCAGUGGCGUGAUCUCGGCUCACUGCAACCUCCACCUCCUGGGUUCAAGCAAUUCUCUUGCCUCAGCCUCCCAAGCAGCUGUGAUUACAGAAGCUUGCCACCAUGCCCAGCUAAUUUUUGUAUUUUUAGUAGAGACUGGCUUUUGCCAUGUUGGUCAGGCUGGUCUCAAACUCCUGACUUCAAGUGAUCUGCCCGCCUCAGCCUCCCAAAGUGCUGGGAUUACAAGCGUGAGCCACUGCAUCUGGCCCCAAGUCCUCAUUUUUAAAAGAGGGAAGAGUUACGAAGCUCUUAGAGCUAUUUCAAAAUGCCAGUGAGACGGUGGCCACAAAUGUAUGCUUAUUAAAGAGUCUGUCAAAUGGAGAAGAAAGGAAAGGGCAUCUGUGCAACAGGGAGCCAUGUGAGCCCAGGUCUUUGGGACAAGUGAGGCGGAGGUGACUUCCAGGACCUGGGCAGCGUGGGGUGGGGAGGGGAGCGGUCCUCAGCCAGGCAGGAGUAGGAUUCCCCAGAGCUUUGGACAGACACCAUGCUGAAGAGUGUGGUGUUUAUUUUUCCGGGUGACAGCAGCCAUUGGUGAUUCUGAGCUGAGAAAGGACAUGGUCAGAUUCCCAUUUUAGAAAGAUCCUUCAUGUUGCAAAGGGAGUUUGAUAGAGGGACUAGGAUGGUAGCCCUGUGGGUAUUUGAAGAUAUUUGGAGGUUAAUUGGUCCCUUUGGAGGAUUGUAUCCCAGAGAGUACCUGCCACAUUCUUCCUCAUUCUUCUUAGUACAUCUAGGCUCAGAGACAAUAGUAUCUGAGCCUAGAUGACCAUUUGGAGGACUUUGUAAUAACUCACUUUAGAGAAAUUAAAUACCCAGAUCUAUUUUCCAUGUGUUACAAAUCAACCAUUUUCUCCCUCUUCUAACCUCUUUCACUAAUCCAGGUAUAUAUACUUGUUCUGCCCAAGGAGUCUGGAUGAAUAAAGUAUUGGGGAGAAGCCUACCCACCUGCCUUCCAGAGUGUGGUCAGCCCUCCCGCUCCCUGCCAAGCAUGGUCAAGAGGAUCAUUGGGGGCCGAAAUGCUGAGCCGGGCCUCUUCCCAUGGCAGGCCCUGAUAGUGGUGGAGGACACUUCGAGAGUGCCAAAUGACAAGUGGUUUGGGAGUGGGGCCCUGCUCUCUGAGUCCUGGAUCCUCACAGCAGCUCAUGUGCUGCGCUCCCAGCGUAGAGACACCACAGUGAUACCAGUCUCCAAGGAGCACGUCACCGUCUACCUGGGCUUGCAUGAUGUGCGAGACAAAUCGGGGGCGGUCAACAGCUCAGCUGCCCGAGUGGUUCUCCACCCAGACUUCAACAUCCAAAACUACAACCACGAUAUAGCUCUGGUGCAGCUGCAGGAGCCCGUGCCCCUGGGACCCCACGUUAUGCCUGUCUGCCUGCCAAGGCUUGAGCCUGAAGGCCCGGCCCCCCACAUGCUGGGCCUGGUGGCCGGCUGGGGCAUCUCCAAUCCCAAUGUGACAGUGGAUGAGAUCAUCAGCAGCGGCACACGGACCUUGUCAGAUGUCCUGCAGUAUGUCAAGUUACCCGUGGUGCCUCACGCUGAGUGCAAAACUAGCUACGAGUCCCGCUCAGGCAAUUACAGCGUCACGGAGAACAUGUUCUGUGCUGGCUACUAUGAGGGCGGCAAAGACACGUGCCUUGGAGAUAGCGGUGGGGCCUUUGUCAUCUUUGAUGACUUGAGCCAGCGCUGGGUGGUGCAAGGCCUGGUGUCCUGGGGGGGACCUGAAGAAUGUGGCAGCAAGCAGGUCUAUGGAGUCUACACAAAGGUCUCCAAUUAUGUGGACUGGGUGUGGGAGCAGAUGGGCUCACCACAAAGUGUGGUAGAGCCCCAGGUGGAACGGUGAGCUGACUUACUUCCUCGGGGCCUGCCUCCCCUGAGUGAAGCUACACUGCACUUCCAACAGCACACUCCACAUUACUUAUCAGACCAAAUGGAAUGGAACACACUGACCUAGCGGUGGCUUCUCCUACCGAGACAGCCCCCAGGACCCUGAGAGGCAGCAGUGUGGUAUAGAGAAAAGGCUCUAGGCAGGAGACCUGCGUUCCUGAGCUUGUCCAAGUCUCUUUCCCUGUCUGGGCCUCACUCUACCCAGUAAUACAAUGCAGGAGCUCAACCAAGGCCUCUGUGCCAAUCCCAGCACUCCUUUCCAGGCCAUGCUUCUUACCCCAGUGGCCUUUAUUCACUCCUGACCACUUAUCAAACCCAUCGGUCCUACUGUUGGUAUAACUGAGCUUGGACCUGACUAUUAGAAAAUGGUUUCUAACAUUGAACUGAAUGCUGCAUCUGUAUAUUUUCCUGCUCUGCCUUCUGGGACUAGCCUUGGCCUAGUCCUUCCUCUAGGAGAAGAGCAUUCAGGUUUUGGGAUAUGGCUCAUAGCCAAGCCCCUCUCUCUUAGUGUAAUCCCUUGGAGCACCUUCAUGCCUGAGGUUUCUCUCCCAAAAGCUUCUUGCAGUAUAAGCCUUAUCCCUUAUGUUCCCCAUUAAAGGAAUUUCAAAGGACAUGGAGAAAGUUGGGAAGGUUUGUGCUGACUGGUGGGAGCAGAAUAGCCAUGGGAGGCCCACCAAGCCCUUAAAUUCCCAUUGUCAACUCAGAACACAUUUGGGCCCAUAUGCCAUCCUAGAACACCAGCUGACACCAUGGGUGUCCACACCUGCUGCUCCAGACAAGCACAAAGCAAUCUUUCAGCCUUGAAAUGUAUCAUCUGAAAGGCUACCUGAACCCCAGACCCAAAUAUGGGGGCUUAGUCGAUUACCUGGAAAAAGAAAAGACCCACACAAAGUCCUGCUGUGCUUUUGGGCAGGAAAAUGGAAGAAAGAGUGGGAUGGGCACAUUGGAAGUCACCCAAAUCCUGCCAGGCUGCCUGGCAUCCCUGGGGCAUGAGCUGGGCGGAGAAUCCACCCCGCAGGAUGUUCAGAGGGACCCACUCCUUCAUUUUCCAGAGUCAAGGGAAUCAGAGGCUCACCCAUGGCAGGCAGUGAAAAGAGCCAAGAGUCCUGCGUUCUAGUCCCUGCUCUGCCCCCAACUGGCUGUAUAACCUUUGAAAAAUCAUUUUCCUUUUCUGAGUCUCUGGUUCUUCAUCAGCAACAGGAGGGCAUAAGGUCCCCUGCAGCUUCCUUCUAGCUGGAGCACUCAGAGCUUCCCUGACUGCUAGCAGCCUCUCUAGCCCUCACAGGGCUGAUUGUUCUCCUUCUCCCUGGAGCUCUCUCGCCUGGAAAUCUCCAUCACAGCAAGGUAGCCAGAGAAGCCCCUGAGAGGGAAUGAUUGGGAAGUAUCCACUUCUCCAACCGGCUCAUCAAAGCACACUCCUAUGUCUAUGAAUGGCACAUGUAAAGGAUGUUCUAUUUUGUAUCUUUUAUAUCAUAUGCUUCACCACUCUGUAAAGGGCCUCUGCAUUGUUGCUCCCGUCAGGGGUCUAAAGUGGAAAUAAACCCUCGUGGAUAACCAACA
Molecule: small RNA, 5976 nt
Filed under: Pongo abelii (Sumatran orangutan)
Lineage: Eukaryota; Metazoa; Chordata; Mammalia; Primates; Hominidae
Description: retained intron
Source: RNAcentral